GGGGAGGUGGUUGAGUGGUUGAAAACAACGAUUUGCUAAAUCGUCACACUAUUCGAAGUGUCAUGGGUUCGAAUCCCAUUCUUCCCA
Molecule: transfer RNA, 87 nt
Filed under: Grateloupia filicina
Lineage: Eukaryota; Rhodophyta; Florideophyceae; Halymeniales; Halymeniaceae
Description: tRNA-Ser
Rfam family: tRNA
About the family: Transfer RNA (tRNA) molecules are approximately 80 nucleotides in length. Their secondary structure includes four short double-helical elements and three loops (D, anti-codon, and T loops).
Source: RNAcentral